Molecule: ribosomal RNA, 243 nt
Filed under: uncultured Actinomycetales bacterium
Lineage: Bacteria; Bacillati; Actinomycetota; Actinomycetes; Actinomycetales
Description: partial 16S ribosomal RNA
Rfam family: Bacterial small subunit ribosomal RNA
Source: RNAcentral
UACUCGAGUGGCGAACGGGUGAGUAACACGUGGGUGAUCUGCCCUGCACUUCGGGAUAAGCUUGGGAAACUGGGUCUAAUACCGGAUAGGAACCAUCUUUAGUGUGGUGGUUGGAAAGUUUUUUCGGUGUAGGAUGAGCUCGCGGCCUAUCAGCUUGUUGGUGGGGUAAUGGCCUACCAAAGCGGCGACGGGUAGCCGGCCUGAGAGGGUGUACGGCCACAUUGGGACUGAGAUACGGCCCAG